CACGCAGGCGGCCUGGUAAGUCAGAUGUGAAAGCCCGGGGCUUAACCCCGGAAGUGCAUUUGAAACUAUCAGGCUUGAGUAUGGGAGAGGGAAGUGGAAUUCCUGGUGUAGAGGUGAAAUUCGUAGAUAUCAGGAGGAACACCGGUGGCGAAGGCGACUUCCUGGACCAAUACUGACGCUGAGGUGCGAAGGCGUGGGGAGCAAACAGGAUUAGAUACCCUGGUAGUCC
Molecule: ribosomal RNA, 229 nt
Filed under: uncultured bacterium
Lineage: Bacteria
Description: partial 16S ribosomal RNA
Rfam family: Bacterial small subunit ribosomal RNA
Source: RNAcentral